RNAcentral lists this unclassified non-coding RNA (205 nucleotides) under soil metagenome. Its description in RNAcentral is "partial contains 5.8S ribosomal RNA, internal transcribed spacer 2, and large subunit ribosomal RNA". The record is from RNAcentral.
AACGAGGCCGACCUGCGGCUGAGUUACCUGCGGAGGGAUCAUUAAAAAAAGUUGGCAAUCUACCACUACACAACACACCCUUGUGAACUUUUGUAGGCUGAGCAAUCGGUCUAUGUUUUUUUUUCUUCAUUAUAUUAACGCGCAUUGUGUUUAUGUUUUGGAAUCAAUGAAUUGUUAUGGUGAUACAACUUUCAACAACGGAUCU